CCUACGGGGGGCAGCAGUAGGGAAUCUUUCACAAUGGGCGAAAGCCUGAUGGAGCAACGCCGCGUGCAGGAAGAAGGUUUUCGGAUUGUAAACUGCUUUAGACAGGGAAGAAACAAGACAGUACCUGUAGAAUAAGCUCCGGCUAACUACGUGCCAGCAGCCGCGGUAAUACGUAGGGAGCAAGCGUUAUCCGGAUUUAUUGGGUGUAAAGGGUGCGUAGACGGGAAAUUAAGUUAGUUGUGAAAUCCCUCGGCUUAACUGAGGAACUGCAACUAAAACUGAUUUUCUUGAGUGUUGGAGAGGAA
RNAcentral lists this ribosomal RNA (305 nucleotides) under uncultured bacterium. RNAcentral describes it as "bacterial SSU rRNA". It matches the Rfam family "Bacterial small subunit ribosomal RNA", at positions 338 to 659 of the family's 1533-position model. The record is from RNAcentral.